Molecule: small RNA, 846 nt
Filed under: Pan troglodytes (chimpanzee)
Lineage: Eukaryota; Metazoa; Chordata; Mammalia; Primates; Hominidae
Description: processed transcript
Source: RNAcentral
GUAAAAGUGGUAGCAGCGGAGGCGAGCGGAGGGUUUCCCGCGGCGGAGGGUGACAUGCCAUGCCGUGCCAACAUCCUGGUCACAGAGUUGUUUGACACAGAGCUGAUCGGGGAGGGGGCGCUGCCCUCCUAUGAGCACGCACACAGGCAUCUCGUGGAGGAAAAUUGUGAGGCCGUGCCCCACAGAGCCACCGUCUAUGCACAGCUGGUGGAGUCCAGGAGGAUGUGGUCGUGGAACAAGCUAUUUCCCAUCCACGUGCAGACCAGCCUCGGAGAGCAGGUCAUCGUCCCUCCCAUGGACCUGGAGAGCUGCCCUGGCGCACCCUCUGUCUGUGACAUUCAGCUGAACCAGGUGUCACCAGCCGACUUUACAGUCCUCAGCGAUGUGCUGCCCAUGUUCAGCAUAGACUUCAGCAAGCAAGUCAGUAGCUCAGCAGCCUGCCAUAGCAGGCGGUUUGAACCUCUGACAUCUGGCCGAGCUCAGGUGGUUCUCUCGUGGUGGGACAUUGAAAUGGACCCUGAGGGGAAGAUCAAGUGCACCAUGGCCCCCUUCUGGGCACACUCAGACCCAGAGGAGAUGCAGUGGCGGGACCACUGGAUGCAGUGUGUGUACUUCCUGCCACAAGAGGAGCCUGUGAUGCAGGGCUCAGCGCUCUAUCUGGUAGCCCACCACGAUGACUACUGCGUAUGGUACAGCCUGCAGAGGACCAGCCCUGAAAAGAAUGAGAGAGUCCGCCAGAUGCGCCCCGUGUGUGACUGCCAGGCUCACCUGCUCUGGAACCGGCCUCGGUUUGGAGAGAUCAAUGACCAGGACAGAACUGAUCGAUACGUCCAGGCUCUGAGGACC